RNAcentral lists this transfer RNA (83 nucleotides) under Podarcis lilfordi (Lilford's wall lizard). Its description in RNAcentral is "tRNA.Thr". Lineage: Eukaryota; Metazoa; Chordata; Lepidosauria; Squamata; Lacertidae. The record is from RNAcentral.
GGAGGUUCGAGUCAGUGUGGUGUAGUGGUUAAGAGUGGUAGACUUGUAAUCUGGUGAACCGGGUUCGAUUCCCCGCUCCUCCA